AUACGGAGGGGGCUAGCGUUGUUCGGAAUUACUGGGCGUAAAGCGCGCGUAGGCGGCUUAUCAAGUUAGGCGUGAAAGGCCUGGGCUCAACCCGGGAACUGCGCUUAAUACUGGUAGACUUGAGUCCGGGAGAGGGUGGCGGAAUUCCCAGUGUAGAGGUGAAAUUCGUAGAUAUUGGGAAGAACACCAGUGGCGAAGGCGGCCACCUGGCCCGGUUCUGACGCUGAGGUGCGAAAGCGUGGGGAGCAAACAGGAUUAGAAACCCGAGUAGUCC
RNAcentral lists this ribosomal RNA (274 nucleotides) under uncultured bacterium. RNAcentral describes it as "partial 16S ribosomal RNA". It matches the Rfam family "Bacterial small subunit ribosomal RNA", at positions 523 to 796 of the family's 1533-position model. The record is from RNAcentral.